CAGUGUCUGGUGGGUAGUUUGACUGGGGCGGUCUCCUCCUAAAGAGUAACGGAGGAGCACGAAGGUUGGCUAAUCCUGGUCGGACAUCAGGAGGUUAGUGCAAUGGCAUAAGCCAGCUUGACUGCGAGCGUGACGGCGCGAGCAGGUGCGAAAGCAGGUCAUAGUGAUCCGGUGGUUCUGAAUGGAAGGGCCAUCGCUCAACGGAUAAAAGGUACUCCGGGGAUAACAGGCUGAUACCGCCCAAGAGUUCAUAUCGACGGCGGUGUUUGGCACCUCGAUGUCGGCUCAUCACAUCCUGGGGCUGAAGUAGGUCCCAAGGGUAUGGCUGUUCGCCAUUUAAAGUGGUACGCGAGCUGGGUUUAGAACGUCGUGAGACAGUUCGGUCCCUAUCUGCCGUGGGCGCUGGAGAACUGAGGGGGGCUGCUCCUAGUACGAGAGGACCGGAGUGGACGCAUCACUGGUGUUCGGGUUGUCAUGCCAAUGGCACUGCCCGGUAGCUAAAUGCGGAAGAGAUAAGUGCUGAAAGCAUCUAAGCACGAAACUUGCCCCGAGAUGAGUUCUCCCUGAGACUUAGAGUCUCCUGAAGGAACGUUGAAGACGACGACGUUGAUAGGCCGGGUGUGUAAGCGCAGCGAUGCGUUGAGCUAACCGGUACUAAUGAACCGUGAGGCUUAACCUUA
RNAcentral lists this ribosomal RNA (680 nucleotides) under Salmonella enterica subsp. enterica. RNAcentral's name for it is "partial 23S ribosomal RNA". It matches the Rfam family "Bacterial large subunit ribosomal RNA", at positions 2252 to 2925 of the family's 2925-position model. Lineage: Bacteria; Pseudomonadati; Pseudomonadota; Gammaproteobacteria; Enterobacterales; Enterobacteriaceae. The record is from RNAcentral.